This 72-nucleotide transfer RNA is filed under the name Schistocerca americana (American grasshopper). RNAcentral describes it as "tRNA-Glu". It matches the Rfam family "tRNA". Rfam says of the family: Transfer RNA (tRNA) molecules are approximately 80 nucleotides in length. Their secondary structure includes four short double-helical elements and three loops (D, anti-codon, and T loops). Lineage: Eukaryota; Metazoa; Arthropoda; Insecta; Orthoptera; Acrididae. The record is from RNAcentral. RNAcentral also lists the same sequence under 1 other name.
UCCGGUGUGGUCUAGUGGCUAGGAUACCUGGCUCUCACCCAGGAGGACCGGGUUCGAUUCCCGGUACCGGAA